This is a long non-coding RNA of Aedes aegypti (yellow fever mosquito), 683 nucleotides long. RefSeq lists it as uncharacterized. The record is from RefSeq and is a predicted model, not a curated record. NCBI's taxonomy places the organism in Eukaryota, Metazoa, Arthropoda, Insecta, Diptera, Culicidae. The transcript has 3 exons.
GUGAGAACGUUAAUGCCAAGAAGAAGAAGAACAAAAAUAUGGUACACUGAGCCUAUUAAUCUGAUUAUAUUUAUCUGGAAAAUCAUAUACACGCAUCAGAAUUCAUAUUUGAUAGAUUCUAUAACCACCCAAUAAAGACUAUAUGAAACUCCAAUGAGGUUUAAUUAAUAGCCAUAUGGAAGCAAUUUACAUUUCACAUAAAACUCAUUGGACAUCGUUUACCCAUUCGGUCAUUACAAAAUCAGAUACAUGGUAUAUGAUUUUCUAUUGUGAAAAAAUCUGUGUUUAUAUUUAGUGACACGAUGGCGGCCACUGCAUACAAUUUGCUAGCGGGUUUUGAAUUUACGACGAGUUCUUGCAAAUUUUUGAAGCAUGUGGAACCACUAUUUACGAGCUUUAACCGUGCUCAUUGAAGAAUUUCGCUUCAAAUUACAUACUGCUGAUACACUCUAAAGUUCUACUUGACGCUAUCCAAAUUUUUGUGCCGACCAUGCAACAUCAAAAAUUCCCUGUGUUUCAGUUCCAGUUGUAACUAUGAGAUGACUAUAGUGGAUACGAAUACACGAUUGAUGGAAGAUUGUAAGGCCGGAGAAGUACUUGGUCCCUCUCAAACGAAGAAAUCUUUUUCAUGGAUUGUAAUAUCCAUACAUUAAAAUUUUAAAUAAAUAAUUUUAAAAUUUACU